This 429-nucleotide ribosomal RNA is filed under the name Gemmatimonadota bacterium. RNAcentral describes it as "Gemmatimonadetes bacterium partial 16S ribosomal RNA". It matches the Rfam family "Bacterial small subunit ribosomal RNA", at positions 355 to 776 of the family's 1533-position model. Lineage: Bacteria; Pseudomonadati; Gemmatimonadota. The record is from RNAcentral.
UAGGGAAUCUUCGGCAAUGGACGAAAGUCUGACCGAGCAACGCCGCGUGAGUGAAGAAGGUUUUCGGAUCGUAAAACUCUGUUGUUAGAGAAGAACAAGGACGUUAGUAACUGAACGUCACCUGACGGUAUCUAACCAGAAAGCCACGGCUAACUACGUGCCAGCAGCCGCGGUAAUACGUAGGUGGCAAGCGUUGUCCGGAUUUAUUGGGCGUAAAGCGAGCGCAGGCGGUUUCUUAAGUCUGAUGUGAAAGCCCCCGGCUCAACCGGGGAGGGUCAUUGGAAACUGGGGGACUUGAGUGCAGAAGAGGAGAGUGGAAUUCCAUGUGUAGCGGUGAAAUGCGUAGAUAUAUGGAGGAACACCAGUGGCGAAGGCGGCUCUCUGGUCUGUAACUGACGCUGAGGCUCGAAAGCGUGGGGAGCAAACAGG